RNAcentral lists this ribosomal RNA (468 nucleotides) under uncultured bacterium. RNAcentral's name for it is "partial 16S ribosomal RNA". It matches the Rfam family "Bacterial small subunit ribosomal RNA", at positions 28 to 507 of the family's 1533-position model. The record is from RNAcentral.
GACGAACGCUGGCGGCGUGCCUAAUACAUGCAAGUCGAACGGAAAGGCCCUGCUCUUGUGGGGUGCUCGAGUGGCGAACGGGUGAGUAACACGUGUGUAUCCUGCCCUUGUCUUUGGGAUAACUUCAGGAAACUGGGGCUCAUACCGGAUAGGAGCUCCUGCUGCAUGGUGGGGGUUGGAAAGUUUCGGCGGUUGUGGAUCGACUCGCUGCUUAUCAGCUUGAUGGUGGGGUAGUGGCUUACCAAGGCUUUGACGGGUAGCCGGCCUGAGAGGGUGACCGGCGACAAUGGGACUGAGAGACGGCCCAGAAUCGUACGGGAGGCAGCAGUGGGGAGUAUUGCACAAUGGGCGGAAGCCUGAUGCAGCAACGCCGCGUGCGGGAUGACGGCCUACGAGUUGUAAACCGCUGUCGCCUGUGACGAAGCGUGAGUGACGGUAAUGGGUAAAGAAGCACCGGCUAACUACGUG